UCCUCAUUCCUCCUGCUAUCUCACCGAUCAGAGUGACGAGAGAGCACGGGAAAUGAAGAGA
Molecule: microRNA precursor, 61 nt
Filed under: Pristionchus pacificus
Lineage: Eukaryota; Metazoa; Nematoda; Chromadorea; Rhabditida; Neodiplogasteridae
Description: mir-8364 microRNA precursor family
Rfam family: mir-8364 microRNA precursor family
Source: Rfam by way of RNAcentral